RNAcentral lists this long non-coding RNA (1201 nucleotides) under Homo sapiens (human). RNAcentral's name for it is "HSALNT0375943". Lineage: Eukaryota; Metazoa; Chordata; Mammalia; Primates; Hominidae. The record is from RNAcentral.
AGUAAUCCUAUCAAAUGCAGGUGCACAGAAAUUAGGAGAUCAGAACAGCUCCUUGCAUUUCUUGCUACAUUUCCAGUAUUUUCCCAUUCCCUUGCUCAGUGCCUUGUCAGCACACCUAGAAUUGAGGGUGUGAUAAGAGAGGAGCAGAAAAGUAAGACUGAAAUAUUGUCCAAUACGACUAAGAAUUUUGCAGAAUGCAAUAAUUGUUUUAAACACAACAGCAGUUUAUGGUUAUCAAGGCACCAAGGAAUAGCACUGCCAAGAAUUUACUGAGCAGUAGGGCUUCUCUGACAGGAACUGCGCAGCAAUGUUCUCCCAGCAGCUUGACGUCAUUCUGCAUUGGUUGGAGUGAGAUUGGACAGAGCGUGGCUGAAGCUGACAGGAAAGAGAUUAUGCAGUUAUAGGUCUAAGGAGAACUUCCUUGGGAAGCAACCAAGAAUUGUCUUGAGACAAUAACAUUCCAGAAUUAGGUUUUGGGAGAGAGUGUCAAAAUCUCAUUCUAAUGGCUGAACAAUUUUAUCUGGGAAGAGAUGUGGCCAACUUUCUAGGGCUGACUUUGAUCCAGUAGAACAUGUCUUUUACAAGCAUUUACUUUACCAACUGGGAGCUCAGUACCCUCCCCUGUGAAAAACACCCAGGCAAGUCCAAGUCCCACAGAGUUGUUGCAACAGAGGGAAAAACAAGUGGGAUUCCAUUCAGCUUGGCUCCUAAAAAGAUCCUUAUUGGUGCUUGUGCCUGUACUACUAAGAGAGUUGUGGAAACCUUGGAAUGUGCCCAGAGUAGAGCAAUGGAAAUGAUUGGGAAAGAGGAUCUAUGAGAAAAGGCUCAAAGAAUUGAUAUGGGUGUAGAAAUAAAAUUGUGUGGAAUUACAGAUAAACUAUUUCAGGAGUAUGAAGUUAAACAAACAAGAGAAGAUGAAGGAGGAAAAGAAGAAGAUGGAGGAGGACAAAGUUUUCAGAAGUGCUUAUUAGAGCUAUUACAUGCCAAAUAUCUACUCUGUGGGAAAAGCAAAUUUCACAUUUUUAUCAACUCUGUAUUCACACAUCUGAUCAAGAGAUGUUAGAAGCCAGUUCUUGAGAAUGGCAGGACCACCUUGUGGACAUAACCUGGGUCGGUGAAUGACUGCACGGAGCAGAGUCCUACCUGUCAAGACGUCAGAUUAUGAUGUGAAUAAGCAAUAAACAUAUAUUUUGUUAACUCA